RNAcentral lists this long non-coding RNA (469 nucleotides) under Durio zibethinus. Its description in RNAcentral is "long non-coding RNA (DZIB_LNC002125)". The record is from RNAcentral. Lineage: Eukaryota; Viridiplantae; Streptophyta; Magnoliopsida; Malvales; Malvaceae.
GUCCGUCCACGACUCAUUUGGGUUGCUGGGCACGUGCGAGUCCAUGCCCACCGGCCUCCUUCUCCAAAGCAAAGCCGAAUACAAAAACUUUUCUGUCUCUCUGAUUCGCGAUAAACAAACAGUUUGUGCCUUGGUUGGGUGGGUUUAUUUAUUAAUUUAUUUUCCGAUAAAUGCCUAUUUUGUUUUUCUGUUCUUGUUUCAGGGGUAGCAAUGUUUUUGAAAGAAGAGAGGUUUCACCCAGGGUUUAUAUAUAGACUGGGACCGCAGGGUUGGUUGCAACUUCAAAAACAGUAAGACCCUCCAAUUACAAAACGUUGAGGGUACUGAAAUUCUAUACUCGCUGCUUUUUACCGCCACCUGUUCAAACUUAUCUGGAUAAAUACUUUCAUGUUUCCCAACAAUAUUUGUUUUCUAACGGGAGAAUUAAAGGCAAUGAAAUUCCAAAAAUCAUGUGCUCAUGUAACUCUAG